This 137-nucleotide small nucleolar RNA is filed under the name Nannospalax galili (Upper Galilee mountains blind mole rat). The record is from RNAcentral. Lineage: Eukaryota; Metazoa; Chordata; Mammalia; Rodentia; Spalacidae.
UUGGCCGCCAAUGAAGGCCAGCAGCUUGCUGAAGCUGUUGGUUUCAACCAGGAGCCUAAAGAAAAGUCUUUCUGUGGUCUGUUGACCAUUUCAGAAAUUUGGAAAUGUAAAGGUCAAUUCGUUAGAAAGAAACAUCU